AAGGAGAGUAUCAGCAAUGUACAGGUCCUACUGGAGUACCAUAUUGCUUAUCUAAACGAGGUGGAACAGCUGCGACUGGAGCGGCUGCAGAUUGACGAGCAGCUGCGUCAGAUCGGGAUGGGCUACAGGCCCGUCCCAAACCGACCCGCCGA
Long non-coding RNA from Sinocyclocheilus anshuiensis, 152 nucleotides. RefSeq lists it as uncharacterized. Lineage: Eukaryota; Metazoa; Chordata; Actinopteri; Cypriniformes; Cyprinidae. The transcript has 2 exons. The record is from RefSeq and is a predicted model, not a curated record.